GGGAAUGGACACAGUUAGAUGAUGCUGCCAGGAUGGCUGCACUGGGAGAGAAGGUUCUGCAUGAGGAGAGAAGGUUUUGAAUGAGGAGAGAAGGUUUUGCAUGAGGAGAGAAGGUUUUACUCUUUGUGGAGAAGGUUUUGCUCUGUGGGAGAAGGUUUUGCUCUGUCUGAAGAAGGGUUUGCUCUGUGGGAGAAGGUUUUGCUUAGUGUGGAGAAGGUUUUGCACUCGAGGAGAGAAGGUUUUGCACUGUGUAGAGAAAGGUUUGCUCUGUGGAGAAGGUUCUGCAUGAGGAGAGAAGGUUUUGCUCAGUGUGGAGAAGGUUUUGCACUAUGGGGAGAAGGUUUUGCUGCA
Molecule: long non-coding RNA, 351 nt
Organism: Serinus canaria (Common canary)
Lineage: Eukaryota; Metazoa; Chordata; Aves; Passeriformes; Fringillidae
Exons: 3
Source: RefSeq, a predicted model, not a curated record